CUUUUGUUGCGAAAAGGGCUUGGAGAAUUGAGCAAGUCCCUGUGCUAGGCUGUUUUAUUAAAACCUCUCUUUUACACACUUGCCUAUACUAUGAUAAUACAAUAAUUUCUAUUCUAAGUAGAUUUCUAUUUUGAGAGUUAUUAAAGUGCUGUAUGUAAGUAUAGAAUUCGCCCGAUAAGCCCGUUCUCUAAGGUGGAAACACUGUAUUAAAACAGUAUACACCAAAACUCAAUGAACUAAAAGAUUUUAUUAAUUGAAGGAAAAGAAACCAACCGGGAUUGCGCUAGUAGUACAGAGCGAAAGUGCAUAAGCUUGAUUAAAUAUUUUUUGUUUACGGUUGAACUUAAGUGGAAUCCGGACCAGAGAAAGUUAUAGUCUUGUAGAUUGUAAACAAAAAAGUGCUGUAACCUUUGCCCUUGCCUAUGGCUUCGGACAAAGGUUAUUUAUGAGCAUGAACUAUUUAUUUUUUGGCAUAAUCCAGAAAAGUAAUAAAUGGGAAGAUCAAUCAAAUUAGUGGUUUAACACUGCUAGUAAUUGACGGAAACCACUCCGUUGGCUAAAUAUUCUAUGUAGAUCGAUAGUGAAUCAGUACUGUAAAGGAAUUUGGAAACAAGAAUGCCGUUGCUUCUCUGAAUACAAGUCCCAAAACAGGUUGCUUAUAAUGACUUUCAGUUUGGCAGUUAUAAUGUUGAAUAGAAAGGUUCCUUUUGAAUCAUGAGCUGAUGACUUUGUGUUAGUUUAAGGCAUACAUUAAUUGUUCCCUUUGGUUUAAUCAAAAAAAGUAAAAUUAAUGUGAGUAGCUUAAUUUAUUAAAAGUAAGCUUAUUAUGAAAGUAAAGUAUUCAUAGAAAACUAACACAAGACGCGAAACGAAGUGAGCUUAAGUAGGCCAGGGGGAAGGUUACCGGAAGGUAGUUGGACGCCCGAAGUGGUAUGCGUUGCAACGCGUUCAUAUGAGUUUAUUUAAGUGGCGAAAUACCAAUCGAACUUCGAAAUAUCUCGUUUUUUGCGAAACCUUUUUAGGAAGGGGGCCUGCAAAAUAAAUGCUAACUAGGUAGAGCGCUGUAAAACUGAUGGGAAGGAAACUUUUACUGAGGUGUUGCAAACCACAAAUUAGGGGCAUUUUAUCAGGUACUCAGUCAGUGCGGGACAAGCUGCAUUUGACAAGAAGGAAACAGCCUAGACUAUGAAUUAAGGCCCGAAAAUAGCGCUAAGUGAGAAAGUAAUUAACUUCACAAAAAUUAGUAGGACGUUUGAUUAGUAGCAUCUACCGUUUCAAGAAAGCGUAAUAGCUCACUACUAUAGUUUAGUUGUUGCGAAAAUUUAGCCGGACUAAGCGCUAUGCCGAAAUUAUAGCUAGCUGGCUGCUAUAAAAGCCAGUUAGAGUAGCAAAACGAACCAUGUUGACAAAGUUAUGUCGGUAAGACUUAAUGAAAAUAUUGGUUGUGAAUAUAUCAGCUAGAGUAACAUAUAAAUUGAGAUUUUAAAAUAAAUUAUAGCUUUUUAAUCUUGGUUUAACCCUUGUAUUUAUAUAAAUAUAAAAAGUUUAUUUAUUAAAAGAAUAGUAUCUCAAUGAUCGGAAAUCCUGGGUUUUCUACACAACUAUUAAAGAUGUAGUUAAAAAUACGGUCCCUAAGUAAUAUAAAGGUUACGAUGGGUACCUGCUAUGCCCAAUAAAAUCUUAUUUGUAGAUCUGUUGCAGGAAAAAAUAGCAGGCAAUUUAUACAACAAUAGAUUUGUUUUUGCGUGUACAAAUGAGUAAUACCGUACUAAAACUGACUCUGGUGGAUUAGUAGAUUUUACUAAGAUUUGGUUAUAAUCGUUCGUAAGGAACUCGGCAAAUUGCGCUGGUACUUUCGAAAACAGCGGUCUAAAAGUUAUGUUUUAGAUCUCAGAUAAGAGAACUGGGUGACAGUUUACUAAAAACUUAGCGUCCUGCCAAUUUGAAACAAGACGUAUAGGAUGUGACGUUUGCUAACGGCCACUAAUUUAAGUAAUCUGUUGUAAAAGGUAGAUAAACAAGAUGUGGUGACGAGCGGCCGUGUGCGAGUCGUUUAAAGGGAAACAAAACAUUUAUGUUUUGGAGCCUUUAGGCAGGGGUUAAAAACUCCGCUAACUGUAAUAACUUGUUGGUGAAAAACCAAACAUCACAGGAACUGAUGAAAAGCGUAGCCCGCAUGCCUUUUGAGGUGUGAAGCCGGGUUAAACGGGAUGAAGGAAACGACGAAUCCCUAGCAAGGGAGUAUAUGAUUAACAGACGUGAAUCUGUGGUUAAAGCAUGGUGACUCCAGGCAUACUGUACGGCCGAGUAUGUUGUUCUUUGGGCAAGGUCAUCGUGUAUAGCAGGAAUCUAAGUACUCAUAGUAAGUUAUUACGGAACGACGAAACCCCGCAAAUGCGGGAUUGGGACGGCGUAAAAAGCCAAUGCCGAACUUUGUUUUGUUUUUUAAACAAAGCACUAAAUAAUAAAGCUACGUUGGUUUAUUUAUUAUUUUGGAAUUAACAAGUUUUGCUUCUAAGUCUGACUUAAAAGCUGCGCUGAAAAGGUGCAAGGGAGUAAUACCCCGGAUAUGCUAACGUACGCCGCGUGGAAUGGAAAAAAAGGAAAUUAAAAAAAAAAACAGUAAUUAAAUUAUGACUAAAAUAAGUUUAAAACAAAAAACACAUGUUUACCAUGACACUACAAUGCUUGGCCAUUAUUUGGCCGGGCUUUGGGAGGGCGACGGUAAUAUAAAUAUAAAAGAUAAGAAUUACCCAAAACCCACAAUUCACAUAACAUUGCAUAAGCAGCAAGAGCCUUACGUUAAAAAAUUAUUGGCUUUAUUAAGCCACUUAUGCGAGGAUCCUGUGGGCAGCGUUCAUAUACGAGAUGACAAUAAUUCGUGUGUGCUUAAUAUUCAUACACCACAAGGAUUAAAGUUUGUUGUGGGUUUAAUUAAAGAUAAACUAAAAACGCCAAAAGCCUUUCAUUUGAAUCGUGUUAUUGACUGGUUAAACAGUUAUGAUCCGAGUUUUAAUUUUAGUCAUGUUAAUAGCAUAAGUGAUUUCAACCUAAGUACGCCCUGGUUCGCAGGGUUUUGUGAUGCAAUGCAAGCUUUGGUAUUGAUUUAAGUUUUAAAACGCGCUUAAAAGCGUCUUGCCAGUUUCAAAUUAACCAACGCAUGAGUGACCCACGGACCGGGCUAAGCUACCAUAAACUGUUUUGCUCAAUUGCUGAUGCGCUAAAAGUAAACAUAUGUACUAUUACCGAAAAAAGAAGCGGGCGUCUCUAUUAUGCGAUUAAAGCCACAAGCCGUAAGUCAAAAGAUAUUUUACGCAGUUAUUUUGACUCAUACCCGUUAUUAACAUCAAAGUUUUUAGACUAUAAAUCUUGGUGCAACGUUGACAAUCUGUUAAAAAAAAAAAACCUCCCUAAAUAUUUACAGCAAAUUCAGUUUUUAAAACAAGGUAUGAAUAACAGUCGGCGCAGCUUUACUUGGAAUCACUUACGCCAUAUAUAAUCUUUUUUUUUUUCACGAGGAGCCGUAUGAUGGGAAACUAUCACGUACGGUUUUGAAUAAGCAGUUUUGGGGAGGCCCAACGCUGACUUUAACAACUAUAACGGUCAUAAAGUAGCGAAAUUCCUAGGCAUUUAAUUGGUGUCCUGCAUGAAUAACGUAACAACCUGGUUGCUGUCUCGCGAGCGAAAACCGUGAAAUAAGAAUAUCGGUUAAAAUACCGAUUAGGCUGUCUUAGACGAUAAGACCCUGUGAAGCUUUACUGUAACCUAGCAUUGCGAUCGGUUUUUUAUCUUACAGUUAGGCGGGAGGCAAUGCCAACAAUGGAAAACCGCUAGAUAAUAAAUUGGUCGCUUUUAUACAAGAGUACUUUUUAAUCUAUAAGAUAUUUAUAUAAGGGGCAUUAUAUAAAAAAUUUUAUGCAAAUAGAAUAAACUUUAUGUAAAUAAACCUCUAUAUAAAAUACUUUAAUUAACAAGGCUCGAAGACAGUGUUAGGUGGGCAGUUUACUUGGGGCGAGGUCUGGCUAAAAAGUAACGCCAGAGAGCAAAAGGUAUGCUCAGUAUUGUCGGAAACAAUAUGUAGAGCGUAAUAGUAUAAGCAUGCCUGAUUAUGAGACUGACAAGUCAAAUAAGGACGAAAGUCUGCUAUAGUGACCCUCACAUGCUAGGUGGAAAGGUGUGAGAUCAACGAAUCAAAGUUACUCCAGGGAUAAGGCUUAAAAAAGCGACAAGUAAGCAUCUACGUAAUGCGUAAGCUAUGAUAGAGUUCAUCAUACCUCAUAGACCACAACAGAGCCAGCACCUUGUGCCGUUGCUGUUGAAGACUUGGUUUUUUUGGGGCUAGCCUAUGGUAAGCGAGAGCGAAUUGGUGUUUGAGGCUUGUAAACAAAAAGUGGUCUUGCUUAUCCGAAGAUUACGAACUCUUAUAGAUUGUUUAGAAGUAGAGCCAGUACCUAAGGGUGAAAUGGUGCGUAGUGUUGAACUUGGUAAGCCUUAUAGGUUCUAAAUAAUAUGUGUUAUUUAGAGGGCCGUUCGCAAGAUGGGCUAUCACCUAGAAGGUAGAAGAGAAAGCAAAAAGCGAAUGCAGUGCUGUAAUGGUGCUGAUAAAUACAAUUGUAUUGACCUGAAAGGGUGCUGACUUGCUUUUGGUGUAAAAAAUAAAUAUUAAAAUAAUAGUUUAAAAAUGAAAAGUAUUACUUAUAAUCUAGUGCUAAAUAAGCACAUAAAGCCAAUGAAUUCAGAGCAGCUUGGCUAUUUUUUAGCUGGGCUAAUCGAUGCCGACGGACAUAUUGCUGUAACCGGGCAAAGUAUAACAAUAAACACUCACAGCAGGGAUUUAUGUGUUGCUUACUACAUUAAGCAAGCUGUCAGCGGAAAUAUAUAUAAGUAUAAAAAGGUCAACGCUUGUAGAUAUACUUGCACAAAAAACCGCGGUUUAGCUGGUUUAUCAAAGUUAAUAUUAAACAAGCUAAGAUUACCUCAAAAAAUAAAUCAGUUUAAUAGCCGACUAGCGUCCCGUCUAAAUUUAAAACUUUGUACACCCAGUGUUACAGGUAUAGAACAAAACCAUUGGUUAGCCGGCUUUGUACAAGGGGAUGGAAGUUUUCAAAUAAAAAUAAGAAUGCCCCGUAAACCCGGAUGGAGUAAUCAAGUUGAAAUAGUACCCCUUGCCUUUGGCUUCGGGCAAAGGUUCAGAUUGAAUUAAAACAUGAAGGCCUGCUUAGGCAAAUUAAAGAAACUUUUGGUGGUAGCGUGGGGUAUCGUAAAAGUAGAAAUACCUACUAUUAUAGUAGCGUUAAUUUACAAAAUGCUACUAAACUUGUGAAGUAUUUUAAUAAAUACCAAGUAAUGGGACCUAGCUACAGGUUAUUUUUAUGUUGGAGAAGAGCUUUAGAUAUAGUGCUAGCUAAACAACACCUUACUUCUGCCGGAUUUGACGAAAUCAAAUGUUUAAAAGCAUACAUGGCUGAAUUAAGGCAGAGGAAUUGAUAUAUUUUUAUUUUCUUUAUUUUUUAUGCUUGAGCCGUAUGCGCUGAAAGGUGCACGUACGGUUCUUAGGGGAAAAAACGUUUGUGAAAACCAAUUUCCCCAGUCAGGGUAGUCCUGGCUUAUAGUUCUUAUAGACGCCAGGGUUCGCCACCUUAAUUAACAUUGGGGCUCUUAUCUAGGAAACUAGGUUAGGGAUGCAUUUGGCUAUAUGCUGGAACCCCCGUUUGCAUUAAAUUUAACAAAGAACAUUAUCUUUAAUAGCAAUGUAAAUAUUACGUGGCUUGCUUGUUUUAUAUUUAUAAAAAGCUUGUUGACACAUGUGAUUGCGGGCAAUCAGCAGGGAAGUUCAAAGCAACUUAUAUUUUUAUGUUAUGUUGCAUAACCCCUCAACGACCACACGCCGAACACCCUUAUAAAGGGUGAUGAUAUGGUCUACUCUUACAAGAAAUUGUAAGUCAAUUCAAAUUGUAAAUAAAUUGAAUUGAUAUACACAACUAAACUACAUAAAAAACAAAUUUUUUCUUUAUACAUUAUGAUACAAAAAAAUAACUUAUCAACAUUACCUUUAUUUUUUCAAAGGCAAAGCGCCAACUGGCAAAAAAAAGCCGACGUUUGGGUUCAUAAAGAUGAACCCAGAAAGCUAUACGGUAAAAAUCUUGUAGCUUACAAAAAAACGCUCAAACUAACGGCACAGCAAAACAAGAUUUUAGUUGGCAGUUUACUAGGCGAUGGAUAUAUUGACUUCCAUAGGUCUGCAAAACAACCUAGUUACUACUUUUGUUUUGCUCAAACUUGGCAUGCCGCAGAUUAUGUUGAUCAUAUUUAUCAAAUAUUUAAACCGUUUGUAGGUACUCCGCCUAAAAUAAAUAAAAUUGGCGGCAUAAAGUCAGAUUUGCCAAAGCGUUAUGAAGUUCGUUUUAAAACUUAUGCUCACGAAGAGUUUAAGUAUUACUACGAUUUAUUUUAUCCUGAAGUAGAUGGUCAAAGAAAAAAGCGCGUCCCACAAAAUAUAAAAAGUAUACUAACAGCUGAGGGUUUGGCUUACUGGUAUAUGGAUGAUGGGACAACACGGACGUAUAUAACAGGGAAAAAAUCUUAUGUUAUUUCAACUCAAGGUUUUUGUUAUGAAGAUCAGGUUAUAUUAAUUGAUGCUUUAAAAGAAUCAUUUGGUCUUGAUUGCGGUGUGCAUAAAGAUAAAACCUACUUUAGGGUUAGGUUUUAGAGCAUCAUCUAAUGCGCUGUUUUUAAGCUUAAUAAAACCAUAUAUACAUCCAUAUUUUGAUUAUAAACUUUAAGUAAUAUAAUAAAAAACACAAUAAUGCCAAUUGUAGUGUGUAUAAUAAUACACAGACGAUGUUGCCUCAGGUCAUCCUAGAGCUGCACAAGGUUCUAAGGGCGCAACUGUUCUUUGCAUAAUGACCUACGUGAGGUGAGUUUAAACCGCCGUAAGGCAGGUUUGGUUCUAUCUAGACAGCCAUAAUAUUUAACCAAGCACUAGAAUUCCACUGUACGAAAGGACCCGGGAUUCCGCGCCAAUGGUUUAGCAAUUGUUUUGAAAAAAGCACUGUUGCAACGCUAAGCGCGAAAUGUUAAUUGCUGAAAAACUAUCAAGCAAGAAACAAUUGUAAAGGUUAUAGUAGAUCGCAUUUGCGUAAAUAGGCGCGGGGUGUACACUUUGUAAGAAGCUCAGCUACCGCGUACUAAUUUUUUCGAUGUUGCCUCAGGUCAUCCUAGAGCUGCACAAGGUUCUAAGGGCGCAACUGUUCUUUGCAUAAUGACCUACGUGAGGUGAGUUUAAACCGCCGUAAGGCAGGUUUGGUUCUAUCUAGACAGCCAUAAUAUUUAACCAAGCACUAGAAUUCCACUGUACGAAAGGACCCGGGAUUCCGCGCCAAUGGUUUAGCAAUUGUUUUGAAAAAAGCACUGUUGCAACGCUAAGCGCGAAAUGUUAAUUGCUGAAAAACUAUCAAGCAAGAAACAAUUGUAAAGGUUAUAGUAGAUCGCAUUUGCGUAAAUAGGCGCGGGGUGUACACUUUGUAAGAAGCUCAGCUACCGCGUACUAAUUUUUU
RNAcentral lists this ribosomal RNA (7556 nucleotides) under Ulva flexuosa. Lineage: Eukaryota; Viridiplantae; Chlorophyta; Ulvophyceae; Ulvales; Ulvaceae. The record is from RNAcentral.